GCCACGCAUUAAUGGAUAGCCAUUCCAAAAGAUAUCCAAAUCUUGUUAUCCUGAACUGCUCCCUACUCUGCGUCAUUUCAUCUUCAAUCCGGAGGUUCUCUCCAUCUCCCCUCUGGUUUUGUUACACUGUGGAUCAUCGUUUCCCCUCCCAGGUAUGUGUCUUCCCUUCCCACUAACGCUGCUUUUGCUAGAUUGUGGGCUUGAAUGUUCUUCGUUCUAUGGAUAAACUUGAAAAUAACUUCUUCUACCCUGAAUCUCCUGCUCUGUAUGUCAUAAAUAAUCGCACCAAGAACCGAUUUAUCCAUUUCCGUCCUCUGGCAUUUUUGUAUGACUGUUUUCGAAUCCCCUUCUAUCAUUACUUUUGUUAACUCCAUUUCUAUUACUAACUUCAUGGCGUCUAAUCCUGCGAGGGCUUCUGCUACGAACGGGGUGGGAAUAUCCUCAUGUAUAACUAUCUUUGAGGCUUUUAAGUCUCCCAUCUGGUCUCGAACGACUAUACCUGAGGCAAAUCUAGCAUUUCUUCUGCCAAAGGCUGCGUCAAACUGAGCUAUGAUGCCUUCUGUCGCCCCGGUAUAACUGAUUGCCCUUUUGGU
Molecule: long non-coding RNA, 593 nt
Filed under: Gossypium barbadense (sea-island cotton)
Lineage: Eukaryota; Viridiplantae; Streptophyta; Magnoliopsida; Malvales; Malvaceae
Description: long non-coding RNA (GBAR_LNC004710)
Source: RNAcentral